GUGCUUGUUUUGGCGGCACAUAUACUAAAAUUGGAAUGAUACAGAGAAGAUUAGCAUGGCCCCUGUGCAAGGAUGACAUGCACAUUCAUGAAGUGUUCCAUAUUUUU
Molecule: small nuclear RNA, 107 nt
Filed under: Saimiri boliviensis boliviensis (Bolivian squirrel monkey)
Lineage: Eukaryota; Metazoa; Chordata; Mammalia; Primates; Cebidae
Source: RNAcentral